RNAcentral lists this ribosomal RNA (410 nucleotides) under uncultured bacterium. RNAcentral's name for it is "bacterial SSU rRNA". It matches the Rfam family "Bacterial small subunit ribosomal RNA", at positions 28 to 438 of the family's 1533-position model. The record is from RNAcentral.
GACAAACGCUGGCGGCGUGCAUAAAACAUGCAAGUCGAACGGACCAAAGCCCGCAAGGGCUGAGGUGAGUGGCGAACGGCUGAGUAACACGUAGGUGACCUGCCCCGAAGUGGGGGACAACUCGUCGAAAGACGAGCUAAUACCGCAUGUGAUCACCGAUUCAGUUCGGUGCUCAAAGUCGCAAGACGCUUUGGGAGGGGCCUGCGGCCGAUUAGCUAGUUGGUGGGGUAAUGGCCUACCAAGGCCGCGAUCGGUAGUUGGCCUGAGAGGAUGACCAGCCAGACUGGGACUGAGACAUGGCCCAGACUCCUACGGGAGGCAGCAGUUAGGAAUUUUUGUGCAAUGGGGGAAACCCUGACACAGCCACGCCGCGUGCGGGAUGAAGGCCUUCGGGUCGUAAACCGCUUUUC